Molecule: ribosomal RNA, 392 nt
Filed under: Centropages sp.
Lineage: Eukaryota; Metazoa; Arthropoda; Copepoda; Calanoida; Centropagidae
Description: partial small subunit ribosomal RNA
Rfam family: Eukaryotic small subunit ribosomal RNA
Source: RNAcentral
AUUCCAGCUCCAAUAGCGUAUAUUAAAGUUGUUGUGGUUAAAAAGCUCGUAGUUGGAUUUCGGCGGGUAUUGGUUGGUUUGAAUUGCUUCAACACUGACUUUUUUACCCGUGUGUUUUGCCAGAAUUUAGCGGGUGAUCUUCGCCGAUUGUCCGUUGGAACUGGUAGGUUUACUUUGAAAAAAUUAGAGUGCUCAAAGCAAGCUUACUGCUUGAAUAGUUGCGCAUGGAAUAAUAGAAUAGGAAGUCGUUUCUAUUUUGUUGGUUUUCGGAAAUCGACUUAAUGAUUAAUAGGGAUAGUCAGGGGCACUCGUAUUCCGCCGAGAGAGGUGAAAUUCUCAGACCAGCGGAAGACGAACCACUGCGAAAGCAUUUGCCAGGGAUGUUCUCAUCG